AUCAAUGGCCAUAGCACCCUGAAUGUUCUUAAUCUCAUCUGAUCUUGGAUACUAAACAGGGUCAGGACUGGUCUAUUACUGGGAUUGGAGAUGGCCUAGGAAUACCAAGUGCUGUAGGGU
This is a ribosomal RNA of Rhinopithecus bieti (black snub-nosed monkey), 120 nucleotides long. NCBI's taxonomy places the organism in Eukaryota, Metazoa, Chordata, Mammalia, Primates, Cercopithecidae. The record is from Ensembl.